Long non-coding RNA from Drosophila mojavensis, 940 nucleotides. RefSeq lists it as uncharacterized. The record is from RefSeq and is a predicted model, not a curated record. Lineage: Eukaryota; Metazoa; Arthropoda; Insecta; Diptera; Drosophilidae. The transcript is spliced from 2 exons.
GAAUUUACGAUGAUAUUAACAAUAAUAUUGCAGUUGUCGCAAUGGGCGCUGAGGGCGCAACACGAGAUGCCCAACUGGAGCUGCAACUGCCAACUGGACAGUUGUUCGGGACACCCCGUUGCUAGACACUGGGGCACAACUGAAGUCGACUGCAUAGCAUAGAAAUAGUAUACAACUUGAGAUACUCUUUAAAAAUCAUCGUUAGCAAGCUCGCAGAAUUAGUUUCUUUAUGAAAGGGAAAUUUGCAACACAAUUUCCCAUAAACAGCUGAGCAGAAAUCGGAACAGAAACAGAAUUGAAAACAUAACCUGCGUAAUUGUAUUAGUAGUAGUGGGCAAUUCAAAGGGAAAUUUUUAAGAGACAAAGAAAGGAUAUUCCACACAGGCAUAUGACUAGUGAAAGCAAGAGGGAGAUGAAGGGAACAAUUGCCAAUUUACAUGUUGGAGAGAAGAGUCUAGAAUGACAGACGAAUUCGUAAGGAAAUCGUUCACAAAGAGGCGAACAAAUACGAGCUAUAAAUUGGAAUCACAAGUGUGAGAGUGAGAGCUUGCUGAUUGUGCAAAGAAAAGAGAAAAAGCUGCAAUGAAGGGCAUUUCUAAAAGGAAAUUUAUCACACAUGCACACAUACCUAUGGUAUUCCCACUGCGGCUUGGUCAUCAGUUUGCUUUCAUUCUCAUCCUUUAUUUUAUAGCGUAAUGCAUUUAUUUAAUAAAUUCAUAUACAACAUAUAGAGAAAAAAAGCAACUGUGGACAAUGCCGGCAGGCACAUGUAUCUCGGACUUGGACUUGGGAAGUGGAAGUUGAAGUUGGUCUACGACACGCACCAGGAAAUUGGCAGUUGAAUGGACAGUCGCCCGGGCUGCACGGGCCGCCCUGGUCUGGGUGGAUAGUAAACAAUUUUAUGAGCUCGCCUGCAAUAAUCUACGCAAUUUUAUUGACA